Molecule: ribosomal RNA, 1411 nt
Filed under: Candidatus Phytoplasma mali
Lineage: Bacteria; Bacillati; Mycoplasmatota; Mollicutes; Acholeplasmatales; Acholeplasmataceae
Description: bacterial SSU rRNA
Rfam family: Bacterial small subunit ribosomal RNA
Source: RNAcentral
GCCUCUUAGACGAGGAUAACAGUUGGAAACGACUGCUAAGACUGGAUAGGAAGUUUUAAGGCAUCUUGAAACUUUUAAAAGACCCGCAAGGGUAUGCUAAGAGAUGGGCUUGCGGCACAUUAGUUAGUUGGUAAGGUAACGGCUUACCAAGACUAUGAUGUGUAGCUGGACUGAGAGGUUGAACGGCCACAUUGGGAUUGAGAUACGGCCCAAACUCCUACGGGAGGCAGCAGUAAGGAAUUUUCGGCAAUGGAGGAAACUCUGACCGAGCAACGCCGCGUGAACGAUGAAAUAUUUAGGUAUGUAAAGUUCUUUUAUUAAAGAAGAAAAAAUGAUGGAAAAAUCAUUCUGACGGUAUUUAAUGAAUAAGCCCCGGCUAACUAUGUGCCAGCAGCUGCGGUAAUACAUGGGGGGCAAGCGUUAUCCGGAUUUAUUGGGCGUAAAGGGUGUGUAGGCGGUUUAAUAAGUCUAUGGUAUAAGUUCAACGCUUAACGUUGUGAUGCUAUGGAAACUGUUUGACUAGAGUUGGAUAGAGGCAAGUGGAAUUCCAUGUGUAGCGGUAAAAUGCGUAAAUAUAUGGAGGAACACCAGUAGCGAAGGCGGCUUGCUGGGUCUUAACUGACGCUGAGGCACGAAAGCGUGGGGAGCAAACAGGAUUAGAUACCCUGGUAGUCCACGCCGUAAACGAUGAGUACUAAGUGUUGGGUUAAACCAGUGCUGAAGUUAACACAUUAAGUACUCCGCCUGAGUAGUACGUACGCAAGUAUGAAACUUAAAGGAAUUGACGGGACUCCGCACAAGCGGUGGAUCAUGUUGUUUAAUUCGAAGAUACACGAAAAACCUUACCAGGUCUUGACAUACUCUGCAAAGCUAUAGAAAUAUAGUGGAGGUUAUCAGGGAUACAGGUGGUGCAUGGUUGUCGUCAGCUCGUGUCGUGAGAUGUUGGGUUAAGUCCCGCAACGAGCGCAACCCUUAUCGCUAGUUACCAUCAUUUAGUUGGGCACUUUAGUGAGACUGCCAAUGAUAAAUUGGAGGAAGGUGGGGAUUACGUCAAAUCAUCAUGCCCCUUAUGACCUGGGCUACAAACGUGAUACAAUGGCUGUUACAAAGAGUAGCUGAAGCGUGAGUUUUUAGCAAAUCUCAAAAAAACAGUCUCAGUUCGGAUUGAAGUCUGCAACUCGACUUCAUGAAGUCGGAAUCGCUAGUAAUCGCGAAUCAGCAUGUCGUGGUGAAUACGUUCUCGGGGUUUGUACACACCGCCCGUCAAACCAUGAAAGUUGACAAUACUCGAAACCAGUAGCCUAACUUGCAAAAGAGGGAACUGUCUAAGGUAGGGUCGAUGAUUGGGGUUAAGUCGUAACAAGGUAUCCCUACCGGAAGGUGGGGAUGGAUCACCUCCUUUCUAAGGAAA